Molecule: ribosomal RNA, 252 nt
Filed under: uncultured bacterium
Lineage: Bacteria
Description: partial 16S ribosomal RNA
Rfam family: Bacterial small subunit ribosomal RNA
Source: RNAcentral
UACGUAGGUGGCAAGCGUUAUCCGGAAUUAUUGGGCGUAAAGAGGGAGCAGGCGGCAGCAAAGGUCUGUGGUGAAAGACUGAAGCUGAACUUCAGUAAGCCAUAGAAACCGGGCAGCUAGAGUGCAGGAGAGGAUCGUGGAAUUCCAUGUGUAGCGGUGAAAUGCGUAGAUAUAUGGAGGAACACCAGUGGCGAAGGCGACGAUCUGGCCUGCAACUGACGCUCAGUCCCGAAAGCGUGGGGAGCAAAUAGG